GCCCGAGUGGUGAAACUGGUAGACACAAGGGACUUAAAAUCCCUCGACUUAACCGUCGUGCCGGUUCGAUUCCGGCCUCGGGCA
This 84-nucleotide transfer RNA is filed under the name Ectopseudomonas oleovorans. RNAcentral's name for it is "Pseudomonas oleovorans tRNA-Leu". It matches the Rfam family "tRNA". From Rfam's summary of the family: Transfer RNA (tRNA) molecules are approximately 80 nucleotides in length. Their secondary structure includes four short double-helical elements and three loops (D, anti-codon, and T loops). Further hydrogen bonds mediate the characteristic L-shaped molecular structure. tRNAs have two regions of fundamental functional importance: the anti-codon, which is responsible for specific mRNA codon recognition, and the 3' end, to which the tRNAs corresponding amino acid is attached (by aminoacyl-tRNA synthetases). tRNAs cope with the degeneracy of the genetic code in two manners: having more than one tRNA (with a specific anti-codon) for a particular amino acid; and 'wobble' base-pairing, i.e. permitting non-standard base-pairing at the 3rd anti-codon position. The record is from RNAcentral. RNAcentral also lists the same sequence under 2 other names. Lineage: Bacteria; Pseudomonadati; Pseudomonadota; Gammaproteobacteria; Pseudomonadales; Pseudomonadaceae.